GUUUGUUGGUAAUGAUAGGGGCUAUAGACAUCCCAGUAGGAGCAAUGUUACUCCAUCAGGGCAGUCCUCUAAGUUUGAGGAAAGUCAAAAUGCAAAAGAAUUAGGUAAGUCUACUGCUUUUGGCAUCCCUAAAAAAGCAUACAAGCGAAGAUACAGGCCCCGGCCAAAUCGUGACAGUGCUAGAUCAAGUUCAUCUGAUAUAG
RNAcentral lists this unclassified non-coding RNA (203 nucleotides) under Hevea brasiliensis (rubber tree). The record is from RNAcentral. Lineage: Eukaryota; Viridiplantae; Streptophyta; Magnoliopsida; Malpighiales; Euphorbiaceae.